UACAGAGGGUGCAAACGUUGCUCGGAAUUAUUGGGCGUAAAGCGCGUGUAGGCGGCUUGUUAAGUUGGUUGUGAAAACCCAUGGCUCAACCAUGGAAGGGCGUCCAAAACUGGCAAGCUAGAGUCCCGACGAGGAUGGCGGAAUUCCCAGUGUAGAGGUGAAAUGCGUAGAUAUCUGGAGGAACACCGGUGGCGAAGGCGGCAUCCUGGACCAACACUGACACUGAGGAGCGAAAGCCAGGGGAGCAAACGGG
RNAcentral lists this ribosomal RNA (253 nucleotides) under uncultured bacterium. RNAcentral describes it as "partial 16S ribosomal RNA". It matches the Rfam family "Bacterial small subunit ribosomal RNA", at positions 524 to 776 of the family's 1533-position model. The record is from RNAcentral.